Long non-coding RNA from Harpia harpyja (harpy eagle), 892 nucleotides. RefSeq lists it as uncharacterized. NCBI's taxonomy places the organism in Eukaryota, Metazoa, Chordata, Aves, Accipitriformes, Accipitridae. The record is from RefSeq and is a predicted model, not a curated record. The transcript is spliced from 3 exons.
ACGAGUUACACGGCCCUGUUCAUCCACAGCACCAGCCCUGCGAUAUAUCCUCGCCUGCUGCGGCAAACCCUGCGAUUUCUCCAGACGUACCCUGGCUGCUGAUUUAUUCCCGCGAAAGAGAGCGAGCUGCGCUGCCACGGGGCUUUUGACAACUCCUUUGCUGUCUCUGAGUGCCGGGGAGCCUGAGCAGCAACGUAAAGCGCAGGGUGAAGAGUACAGUGGAGCCCACUGGAAGAAAAGCUGUAGUCAUUAAUAUGGAUUCCAAGGGAGAAGAACAGACAGCUAACGCUCUACUGAAUGAAAGAUAUAUGAACCAUAAAAUUGCCGGAGAAUCUCUAAUGUACACGUUCAAGUCAUCAGGCUUCAGUACUUUUUAAGUGGUGAACAUUCCAGACCUUCAGACAAAACCCGCUACAUGGAAUAAAACCCCAAACCCAUUAAAUUAGCUGCGUUGCCCAUGCAACAGUUUUUCCUCACAUUGUACAUAUUAGGAAUAUCUGAAAAUAAUAAGCUAUGUGCAGUAGCACAAAAUCUGACCAGGGCAGCUGGGAAGGGUUCCACAGCCGGCGUGAGAAUCGGGCACGGCACUCCGGAGAAAAGGUGGGGAACCGGAGCAAUGCGACGGAUCAUCUGGCAAAGGUUUUGUUUGCCGCUUUGCGGAGGCUCUAAUGUUGGUGUGUGUGAGUGUGCGAUGCAUGACUGCGGUGGGCCUCCCACAUGAGAGUUAGAAAGGCUGAACUCUUCUGCAGAUGCAAGGCAGCGGUACGUGAGCCUGAGGUUCAGUGAGCAUGCAAUUAUGUGUGAGAUUCAAUUACGGGCUUUUGAAGGCAUCCCUUCUUCAUUUUGACCAGUAUUUAUGUAACUUCUGCAUGAUAUAUAUAGUUCUUCUUGC